Molecule: ribosomal RNA, 161 nt
Filed under: uncultured bacterium
Lineage: Bacteria
Description: partial 16S rRNA
Rfam family: Bacterial small subunit ribosomal RNA
Source: RNAcentral
GGAAUCUUCCACAAUGGACGAAAGUCUGAUGGAGCAACGCCGCGUGAGUGAAGAAGGUUUUCGGAUCGUAAAGCUCUGUUGUUGGUGAAGAAGGAUAGAGGCAGUAACUGGUCUUUAUUUGACGGUAAUCAACCAGAGAGUCACGGCUAACUACGUGCCAG